CGAUUGACUGAGUGGCGCACGGGUGAGUAACACGUAUCCAACCUGCCGAUAACUCCGGAAUAGCCUUUCGAAAGAAAGAUUAAUACCGGAUAGCAUACGAAUAUCGCAUGAUAUUUUUAUUAAAGAAUUUCGGUUAUCGAUGGGGAUGCGUUCCAUUAGUUUGUUGGCGGGGUAACGGCCCACCAAACCGACGAUGGAUAGGGGUUCUGAGAGGAAGGUCCCCCACAUUGGUACUGAGACACGGACCAA
RNAcentral lists this ribosomal RNA (249 nucleotides) under uncultured bacterium. RNAcentral describes it as "partial 16S ribosomal RNA". It matches the Rfam family "Bacterial small subunit ribosomal RNA", at positions 84 to 334 of the family's 1533-position model. The record is from RNAcentral.